This 180-nucleotide ribosomal RNA is filed under the name uncultured Glomeromycotina. RNAcentral's name for it is "partial small subunit ribosomal RNA". The stretch from base 91 to 180 matches the Rfam family "Eukaryotic small subunit ribosomal RNA", at positions 738 to 830 of the family's 1831-position model. Lineage: Eukaryota; Fungi; Glomeromycota. The record is from RNAcentral.
GGCCUGGUUGGGCGGUCUGCCUCACGGUAUGUACUGUCUGACUGGGUCUUACCUCUUGGUGAGCCGGCAUGCUCUUAACUGGGUGUGUCGGGGAACCAGGACUUUUACUUUGAGAAAAUUAGAGUGUUUAAAGCAGGCAUAAGCUUGAAUACGUUAGCAUGGAAUAAUAGAAUAGGACUU